RNAcentral lists this transfer RNA (73 nucleotides) under Candidatus Wallbacteria bacterium HGW-Wallbacteria-1. RNAcentral describes it as "tRNA-Thr". It matches the Rfam family "tRNA". From Rfam's summary of the family: Transfer RNA (tRNA) molecules are approximately 80 nucleotides in length. Their secondary structure includes four short double-helical elements and three loops (D, anti-codon, and T loops). The record is from RNAcentral. Lineage: Bacteria; Candidatus Walliibacteriota.
GCCGAGGUAGCUCAGCAGGUAGAGCAGCUGAUUUGUAAUCAGCCGGUCGUCAGUUCGAGUCUGAUCCUCGGCU